This 109-nucleotide small RNA is filed under the name Epilithonimonas zeae. RNAcentral's name for it is "Chryseobacterium zeae Flavo-1 RNA". It matches the Rfam family "Flavo-1 RNA". The record is from RNAcentral. Lineage: Bacteria; Pseudomonadati; Bacteroidota; Flavobacteriia; Flavobacteriales; Weeksellaceae.
AACUAGCCGCGAUGGCAACGGCAUCCUUUUUUGUUUUCUGAUUUUAAUUUCAAUCGGAUUGACAAACUUUGUAAAAACAAAAAAGAUACAGUGGACAGCGGGAUUAAGC